UACGUAGGGGGCAAGCGUUGUCCGGAAUCAUUGGGCGUAAAGCGCGUGUAGGCGGCUCGAUAAGUCUGCUGUGAAAGUCCAGGGCUCAACCCUGGAAAGCCGGUGGAAACUGUCGGGCUAGAGUCCGGAAGAGGCGAGUGGAAUUUCCGGUGUAGCGGUGGAAUGUGUAGAGAUCGGAAAGAACACCAGUGGCGAAGGCAGUUUUCGGGCUGACAACUGACGCUGAUGCACGAAAGCGUGGGGAGCAAACAGG
This 253-nucleotide ribosomal RNA is filed under the name uncultured bacterium. RNAcentral describes it as "partial 16S ribosomal RNA". It matches the Rfam family "Bacterial small subunit ribosomal RNA", at positions 524 to 776 of the family's 1533-position model. The record is from RNAcentral.